GAUGAACGCUGGCGGCGUGCCUAAUACAUGCAAGUCGAGCGAACGGACGAGAAGCUUGCUUCUCUGAUGUUAGCGGCGGACGGGUGAGUAACACGUGGAUAACCUACCUAUAAGACUGGGAUAACUUCGGGAAACCGGAGCUAAUACCGGAUAAUAUUUUGAACCGCAUGGUUCAAAAGUGAAAGACGGUCUUGCUGUCACUUAUAGAUGGAUCCGCGCUGCAUUAGCUAGUUGGUAAGGUAACGGCUUACCAAGGCAACGAUGCAUAGCCGACCUGAGAGGGCGAUCGGCCACACUGGAACUGAGACACGGUCCAGACUCCUACGGGAGGCAGCAGUAGGGAAUCUUCCGCAAUGGGCGAAAGCCUGACGGAGCAACGCCGCGUGAGUGAUGAAGGUCUUCGGAUCGUAAAACUCUGUUAUUAGGGAAGAACAUAUGUGUAAGUAACUGUGCACAUCUUGACGGUACCUAAUCAGAAAGCCACGGCUAACUACGUG
Molecule: ribosomal RNA, 497 nt
Filed under: uncultured bacterium
Lineage: Bacteria
Description: partial 16S ribosomal RNA
Rfam family: Bacterial small subunit ribosomal RNA
Source: RNAcentral